AACUCUUAGCGGUGGAUCACUCGGCUCGUGCAUCGAUGAAGAACGCAGCUAGCUGUGAGAACUAAUGUGAAUUGCAGGACACAUUGAUCAUCGACACUUAGAACACACCUUGCGGCCCCGGGUUCUUCCCGGGGCUACACCUGUCUGAGGGUCG
This 154-nucleotide ribosomal RNA is filed under the name Salarias fasciatus (jewelled blenny). Its description in RNAcentral is "5.8S ribosomal RNA (ENSSFAG00005007111.1)". It matches the Rfam family "5.8S ribosomal RNA". Rfam says of the family: 5.8S ribosomal RNA (5.8S rRNA) is a component of the large subunit of the eukaryotic ribosome. The record is from Rfam by way of RNAcentral. Lineage: Eukaryota; Metazoa; Chordata; Actinopteri; Blenniiformes; Blenniidae.